Long non-coding RNA from Planococcus citri (citrus mealybug), 217 nucleotides. RefSeq lists it as uncharacterized. The record is from RefSeq and is a predicted model, not a curated record. The transcript has 4 exons. NCBI's taxonomy places the organism in Eukaryota, Metazoa, Arthropoda, Insecta, Hemiptera, Pseudococcidae.
UACGAACAGAAAAUUUCUCGACGACAGUCAAUCAUUUCGGUGACAAUCUAUCAACAUGGCCAGAAAAUCUCUAACAAUUAUCGCCUUUCUGCUGUGUGCAAUUCUAGCUCACACUGAAACGGUACAAGACGACGAAGACUUUAAUAAUGAAGUAGAUGGUGUAAUAGCUGAAAAAAAUGAAAUUUAUGAGGCAACAGGAAGCGAUGAAGAGAAUGAU